This is a long non-coding RNA of Limulus polyphemus (Atlantic horseshoe crab), 385 nucleotides long. RefSeq lists it as uncharacterized. The transcript is spliced from 3 exons. The record is from RefSeq and is a predicted model, not a curated record. NCBI's taxonomy places the organism in Eukaryota, Metazoa, Arthropoda, Merostomata, Xiphosura, Limulidae.
AGGUUCCACACCCGGUAGAACUCCUUUUGAAGGUUCCUCGCAUCCCGGAACCUUCUUGAACCCAGCUGCAGCCCAUCUAAGUUUACCACCUUUUGCACGAUCCAGUUAUUCAGGUUUUGGGGGACCAAGUAACAGUUUUGGAGAAAUCUCUUCCUUAGGACUAGGGAGUUCUGGUGUUUUUACCAGCCGUGACCAUGGUUCCUCUGGACUCUCUAACAUAAGUGUUGCAUCCCAAGAUCCUUGGACCCAUCUCCAUAGAAACCCCCUUUCAAUUCCUACCCAAUUAGGUUCUGGGGCUACUCCUAAUCCUGCUCCAUGGGGAGGACUGAAGGCAGAAGCAGAGCGAGAGAGGCUACACAGAGAAGACCAGGAAAGAGAACGGAAA